This 375-nucleotide ribosomal RNA is filed under the name Volutomitra ziczac. Its description in RNAcentral is "partial 12S ribosomal RNA". The record is from RNAcentral. Lineage: Eukaryota; Metazoa; Mollusca; Gastropoda; Neogastropoda; Volutomitridae.
UCAUAGACAUAAAUCCAAUACUAAUUUACCAGAGUACUAUGAAUCACGCAUAAAAUUUAAAACUCAAAGGACUUGGCGGUGUUUUAGACCCCUUAGGGGAACCUGUCUCAUAAUCGAUAAUCCACGUUAUACCUGAUCUCCUUUCGUCCUCAGUUUGUAUAUCGUCGCCGUCAGGUAACUUUUAAGGUAAUAUAAGUUAGCAACAAAAUUUAGGAUUAAAACGUCAGAUCAAAAUACAGCUUAUAAGGAGAGGAAGAUGGGUUACAAUUCUUAAAGUUAUAAUUACGGAUAAAUAAAUGAAAAAUUUAUCUAUGAAGGAGGACUUAAAAGUAAAGUAAAUUAGAUAAACAACUUGAAUAAGGCUCUGAAACGUGC